UAAUAAAAAAAAAUUAUACCAAUUGCAAACCGUAGAAAAAAAGGUAAUUUUAUAUAGGAACGGUAUUAUCGAAACAAAAACCGUAUAUUUUUGGAUAAAAAAUUACGAAUUAAAAAAACAAAUUAUUUUGGAUAUUAUAAAAAUAAAAAUUAAAAAUAUAAUUUUAAAAAUCCCCUGGUUUAUAAAAAAUAACCCCUAAAUAAAUUGGAUAAUAAACCAAAUUUAAUAAAAAAAAUACCUAAUUAUUAAACGGUUUUUUACUUAAAAAAUUUAUAUAAAAAACGUAAAAUAUAAAUAAAUUAACCAAAACAAAUAACGUAUUUAUAAAAAGGACGACCAAACCCGGAAUUAAUAUUAGAAAAAAAACGAUUAUUUACAAACCAAAACCGAUCCAAUUAUAUAAUACCAAAUAUAAAUAAAUAAAUUGAAAACGGUAAAAUUCCAAAAAAAUACCAAAUUUAUACGCGAUUAUUUAACCAAAAGUUCGAAAUAAAAUUACCCGAAUAUAAUUUAUUCGAUUACGAAAUAUUAUUAAAAAAAAACCCAACUGAAAUUUUAUAAAAUAUACGGUUUAAAUUUAAUAUAAAUAAAAAUAUUAAACGAAUAUUUUGCAAAAAACUUUAAAGAUAAUUAUAUUAAAUUAUUAAUAUUACCAGCAAAAAACCCAAUUUUUUUAUAAUAAAAAAAACAAACAAUUACAAUUAUAUAUAAAUUACAAACAAUUAAACGAUAUUAUUAUAAAAAAUUAUUACCCGUUCCCAUUAUUAGACAAAUUCCGAAAUAUAUUUUACCAAAUAUAAUAAUUUACAAUAUCAAAUUUUAAAAAAAUAUACAAUUUAAUUUUUAUAAAAAAAAGCGAAAUAUAGAAAACUGCGUUUCGCAUUAAACGAAAAUAUUAUAAAUAUUUAAUAAUAUUUUUUAAUUUUAUUAACGUUCUAAUAAUUUUUCAAAUUAUAAUUAAUUACGUUAUUAAAAAUACCUAAAUAUUUUUAUCGUUAUUUAUUUUAAUAAUACUUUUUUUAUAAUAAACAAAUUAAUUUUUUAAAAUAUAUUAUUAUUUUU
This 1062-nucleotide small RNA is filed under the name Pyricularia oryzae. RNAcentral's name for it is "Magnaporthe oryzae sRNA M_BR32_EuGene_00110801". Lineage: Eukaryota; Fungi; Ascomycota; Sordariomycetes; Magnaporthales; Pyriculariaceae. The record is from RNAcentral.